CGCCUGCCGGCGACCGGCGCACGGGUGAGUAACACGUAUGCGACCUGCCCCCCGCAGGGGGAUAACCGGGAGAAAUCCCGACUAAUACCGCGUAACGCCGCGGACCUGCAUGGGUCUGCGGCCAAAGGAAGCGAUUCCGGCGGGGGAUGGGCAUGCGGCGCAUUAGCUAGUCGGCGGGGUAACGGCCCACCGAGGCGACGAUGCGUAGGGGUUCUGAGAGGAAGGUCCCCCACACUGGUACUGAGACACGGUCCAAACUCCUACGGAAGGCAGCAG
RNAcentral lists this ribosomal RNA (276 nucleotides) under uncultured bacterium. Its description in RNAcentral is "partial 16S ribosomal RNA". It matches the Rfam family "Bacterial small subunit ribosomal RNA", at positions 82 to 354 of the family's 1533-position model. The record is from RNAcentral.